AAUAAAUGCAGCCAUAAAUAUCCGUGUUUAGCGCUUUGACCAUCCGUCUUAUUUAAAAAAUUUAUGAAAAAUAUUAAAAAAAUUAGUCACACAUAAAGUACUAUUCAUGUUUUAUUAUCUAAUAACAAUAAAAAUACCUCUUUUUUUAAAUAAGACGAACAGUCAAACGUUGAACAUGAAUAGCGCUAAAACUGCACUUAUU
This 202-nucleotide microRNA precursor is filed under the name Oryza sativa Japonica Group (Japanese rice). RNAcentral describes it as "MIR812 microRNA precursor family". It matches the Rfam family "MIR812 microRNA precursor family". Lineage: Eukaryota; Viridiplantae; Streptophyta; Magnoliopsida; Poales; Poaceae. The record is from Rfam by way of RNAcentral.